This 440-nucleotide ribosomal RNA is filed under the name uncultured bacterium. RNAcentral describes it as "partial 16S ribosomal RNA". It matches the Rfam family "Bacterial small subunit ribosomal RNA", at positions 338 to 795 of the family's 1533-position model. The record is from RNAcentral.
CCUACGGGAGGCAGCAGUGGGGAAUAUUGCACAAUGGGGGAAACCCUGAUGCAGCGACGCCGCGUGAGCGAAGAAGUAUUUCGGUAUGUAAAGCUCUAUCAGCAGGGAAGAAAAUGACGGUACCUGAGUAAGAAGCUCCGGCUAAAUACGUGCCAGCAGCCGCGGUAAUACGUAUGGAGCAAGCGUUAUCCGGAUUUACUGGGCGUAAAGGGAGCGUAGGCGGCCUGCCAAGUCUGAUGUGAAAGACCGGGGCGCAACCCCGGGGCUGCAUUGGAAACUGGCAGGCUGGAGUACCGGAGAGGCAGGCGGAAGUCGUGGUGUAGCGGUGAAAUGCGUAGAUAUUAGGAAGAACACCGGUGGCGAAGGCAGCGUACUAAACGGUGACUGACACUGAGGCUCGAAAGCGUGGGGAGCAAACAGGAUUAGAUACCCGUGUAGUC